UCCUUGUUCCCUCUGUGGCUGGAGCCAGGCUGCUGUGACACACUCCACACUUGCCCCGGUGUGACAGCACUUGCUGUGCCAGGUCCGGAACUGAAGGCUGAUGUGAUUCUCUGAACACCUCCUGAGUGGGUACUGCUUACUCCACGUGACAGGGAUCGAACUUGGAACCUUGUGCUUGCAAGGAAGGCAUCAGGACCACUGAGCUAAAUCCCCGGCCUUGCAUUUCAGAACAGUGAAAGUUCUGAUUUGUGCUACAACAUGGAUAAACUCUGAGGACUUUAUUAUAAGUGAAAGUAGCAAGACAUAAAAGGACAAGCAUUGUACCAUUCUACUUACAGGGGCCCCACACCAUCGAGACCGGAAGAACACUGGACUGGAGGAGCCAACAUCGAGUCAGGCACCCAAGUGAGAAGAGGCUCCACAUCCGGGCAUCAGCCAGGAGGCCACACUUCUGGAAGCUGUGCUCAGGAAGGCCCCAAGCAGCCGAGCCGCCCUUUGGAGCCAGAUGCAGGGUCUCACUAUGUAGUUCAGACUGGCCUUGAACUCACCAUGUAGCCCAGGCUGGCCUCGAACUCAACAGUGAUCCUCCUGCCUCAGCCUUCCCCGUGCUGGGAUUACAGACUUGAGCUACCACACCCAGUGAAAUUCAAUUGGUUUUUAUAUUUACUUUAUAUCUAAUGAUUUU
Molecule: long non-coding RNA, 685 nt
Filed under: Heterocephalus glaber (naked mole-rat)
Lineage: Eukaryota; Metazoa; Chordata; Mammalia; Rodentia; Bathyergidae
Description: lncRNA (ENSHGLG00100049374.1)
Source: RNAcentral